This is a non-coding RNA of Equus caballus (horse), 627 nucleotides long. Lineage: Eukaryota; Metazoa; Chordata; Mammalia; Perissodactyla; Equidae. The record is from RefSeq and is a predicted model, not a curated record.
UGAUAUAAUAUUUGUUUGUCAUCAGGACAAAUUCUGUGGACAAUGAAGAUUUUCAAUGUCUUUGUUCACAAUCAAGAUUCAGACUUCUUUAGGUUACAGACACUCAUAUUCAUUUUGAAAAUCGCAGCAAUUUAAAAGGUCAAGAUCCAGUGGUGGUGCAUGUGUUAUCUUGCUCUCCGUGCUCACAGAAAUGGCAGCAGUGCAUGAAGGACGAUGGAGAAAGCAUCACAAUCUGGAACCUGAGUGGAAUGACUGUCUCCUUACGCAAGUAACUCAGGAAGUGUAUUUAUACGUGAGUUUGAGCAUCCUAUCAUACUUUUCUUGGCCAUAUGGAUGGAGGCUUCAUUCAAUUGCUUGUUUACAUCAUUUGUCUACUUUUGCUGUUGGUUUGUUUUUCUUUUGUGUGUUAACUGCUUAGAGCUCUUUGUUUAUGUUGAUGUUAACUCUGUAUAUGUCCUCUAAAAUGUAAAUCUUUUCCCCAGACUAAUUUUGUCUAUUGAUGUUAUGGUAUCUUUUCCUAAGUCCUUAAAAUUUGUUGAAAUUGUCAAAUAUAUCUAUUUGGAAUUUCAAUUAAUACUUAAGAGGCUUAUUCUACCCCUAGAAUGUACAAAGCCAUUUUGCUUAUUA